This is a long non-coding RNA of Cuculus canorus (common cuckoo), 1704 nucleotides long. RefSeq lists it as uncharacterized. The transcript has 3 exons. NCBI's taxonomy places the organism in Eukaryota, Metazoa, Chordata, Aves, Cuculiformes, Cuculidae. The record is from RefSeq and is a predicted model, not a curated record.
CCCUCCACUCUUAUAAAAUCCUUGGUUUGUGCUAGGUGUGCUUUUGCAAUAGGCAGCUGUAAAUGCAAAGUGAUCAGUAUUAACUGAUGCACCAGGAAAGGCGAAGCAUUGAUACCGAUAAGGCUUCUGUACUUUCUUCUCCUUUGUACUACAUUUUUCUGUCUUACAAGUACUCUUUCACUGUUUAACUGCCUCUUUGUGUUUCUUUUUAAAUCCAUAAGCUGUACUUUUAAUUCAACUAGAAACUGCAUCUCCCUGUAUCAAGUAAAAUAAUCAACUUCCAUUAGUCAGAAGGGAUUCUCACAAUUUUUCAAUGAAUUUUUGUGGCACAUGUGAUUGAUUUGUACAAUAUUGAUAAUAAACUUCUGCAGGACAGAAUCGCUGUUGAGUCACAACUUACCACUCUGUCAGCUCCAGGCUGACUUUGAUCUUCAUAUCCCAGGGAAAUACGGCUGGAUAGCAUAAACCAUGUUUUAUUCCUUACUCUUUAAGAUUUCUCUCACCCCACCGUUUUUCCAGCUAUUAUUGAUUAUUGUGCCCUUUGCCCCUUAGAGCUAUUUUCAGGGUUGGAACUAGAUGAUCUUUAAGGUCCCUUCCAACCCUAACUCUUCUAUGAUUCUGUUUUGGGUAAAAAUAACUUAGUUUCCUACGAAGUUUGCCUGAGAAAUACUGCAGGACAAGAUCCAGCUGAAGUACCUCCUGCAGAAUGUUAUUAAUUUACAUUCCACAUGUAUGUAGACAUAAUACAUGAAAUGGCCCUGGUGUGCUCUGCUGGGUAGAGCCAGGAGUCAGACCUUAAUCUCUCUGAGAUCUACUUCUAAGGCUGUAACUUGGUCCUAGUCAGAUUCUUAACCUCCCUUUUCCUCAGCUUCCUUACCCAGGAAUAAACUCAUCUUUCUGAAUUACUUUAACGCUUUGGAUAUAAGUUUUUUUCCCAAAGUGCAUCAUGUUUUUGCUUUGUACCGUGAUGCUCUUAGCUGGGCACUGUGCAACCAUUGUGCCAAAAUAACAGAAAGCAAUGGUGGUAUUUUUUUUGUUCUUAUUUGCAGAGAUAUUUCCUUUAUCAUUCUCAAUUGCAGUUGCACAACUCACGGCGUAAGAGCUAUGGUUCUUUGAGAUGAAAAACAGCCACUCUGAUUAAAAGCAUAAGUCUUGCAGGCAGGAAACAAGGCAUGUGGAGAGCAACGGAUUCUGGCAAGUCCCUGUGUUUCUACUGAAUACUAAAAGUAGAAUGUUGUGAACUCAAGUGGAAGGAAUAGAACACAAUCGGUGAAAGAGGGAGAGUUACAACCGGCUGACAAGAGACUCAAGCUACACGCACUUGGCAAUGGUAAAGCUUGGCAUUCAGUCUGUGCGCUGAGUGGUGCGUACCAGGAAGAACACCAAAAGAAAACUUGUAAGUCAAAAUAGAUUAUCGUUUCUUGCCCUUUAUAGUAGCUGGCGCCAGGAGAGUGGCCCUUGGAGGGCUGCUUGUUCACAUCCACGCAGCGUGACAGGGGUAACACUGUUCUGCCCCUUACUUUGUCCCCAGAGAUUGGGGGUUACCUGCAGGGAGGGCAGCUGCAGCUAUUGCUAUCCAGGUCUGGAAAGAGGAAGACUGUGAGUCAUAAAUGGAUUUAAAUGACAGUAAGUACGGUCCCGGUUCUACGCAUCAGAACGCAAGUUCAGCUUCUUGGCCUUAGAUGUUUAUACUUAAUAUCUUUG